This 262-nucleotide ribosomal RNA is filed under the name uncultured bacterium. RNAcentral describes it as "partial 16S ribosomal RNA". It matches the Rfam family "Bacterial small subunit ribosomal RNA", at positions 334 to 588 of the family's 1533-position model. The record is from RNAcentral.
UUGUCCCACGGGAGGCAGCAGUAGGGAAUCUUCCACAAUGGGCGAAAGCCUGAUGGAGCAACGCCGCGUGGGUGAAGAAGGUCUUCGGAUCGUAAAACCCUGUUGUUAGAGAAGAAAGUGCGUGAGAGUAACUGUUCACGUUUCGACGGUAUCUAACCAGAAAGCCACGGCUAACUACGUGCCAGCAGCCGCGGUAAUACGUAGGUGGUAAGCGUUAUCCGGAUUUAUUGGGCGUAAAGGGAAUGCAGGCGGUCUUUUCAGU